RNAcentral lists this ribosomal RNA (1549 nucleotides) under Klebsiella pneumoniae. Its description in RNAcentral is "bacterial SSU rRNA". It matches the Rfam family "Bacterial small subunit ribosomal RNA". Lineage: Bacteria; Pseudomonadati; Pseudomonadota; Gammaproteobacteria; Enterobacterales; Enterobacteriaceae. The record is from RNAcentral.
AAAUUGAAGAGUUUGAUCAUGGCUCAGAUUGAACGCUGGCGGCAGGCCUAACACAUGCAAGUCGAGCGGUAGCACAGAGAGCUUGCUCUCGGGUGACGAGCGGCGGACGGGUGAGUAAUGUCUGGGAAACUGCCUGAUGGAGGGGGAUAACUACUGGAAACGGUAGCUAAUACCGCAUAACGUCGCAAGACCAAAGUGGGGGACCUUCGGGCCUCAUGCCAUCAGAUGUGCCCAGAUGGGAUUAGCUAGUAGGUGGGGUAACGGCUCACCUAGGCGACGAUCCCUAGCUGGUCUGAGAGGAUGACCAGCCACACUGGAACUGAGACACGGUCCAGACUCCUACGGGAGGCAGCAGUGGGGAAUAUUGCACAAUGGGCGCAAGCCUGAUGCAGCCAUGCCGCGUGUGUGAAGAAGGCCUUCGGGUUGUAAAGCACUUUCAGCGGGGAGGAAGGCGUUAAGGUUAAUAACCUCAUCGAUUGACGUUACCCGCAGAAGAAGCACCGGCUAACUCCGUGCCAGCAGCCGCGGUAAUACGGAGGUGCAAGCGUUAAUCGGAAUUACUGGGCGUAAAGCGCACGCAGGCGGUCUGUCAAGUCGGAUGUGAAAUCCCCGGGCUCAACCUGGGAACUGCAUUCGAAACUGGCAGGCUAGAGUCUUGUAGAGGGGGGUAGAAUUCCAGGUGUAGCGGUGAAAUGCGUAGAGAUCUGGAGGAAUACCGGUGGCGAAGGCGGCCCCCUGGACAAAGACUGACGCUCAGGUGCGAAAGCGUGGGGAGCAAACAGGAUUAGAUACCCUGGUAGUCCACGCCGUAAACGAUGUCGAUUUGGAGGUUGUGCCCUUGAGGCGUGGCUUCCGGAGCUAACGCGUUAAAUCGACCGCCUGGGGAGUACGGCCGCAAGGUUAAAACUCAAAUGAAUUGACGGGGGCCCGCACAAGCGGUGGAGCAUGUGGUUUAAUUCGAUGCAACGCGAAGAACCUUACCUGGUCUUGACAUCCACAGAACUUAGCAGAGAUGCUUUGGUGCCUUCGGGAACUGUGAGACAGGUGCUGCAUGGCUGUCGUCAGCUCGUGUUGUGAAAUGUUGGGUUAAGUCCCGCAACGAGCGCAACCCUUAUCCUUUGUUGCCAGCGGUCCGGCCGGGAACUCAAAGGAGACUGCCAGUGAUAAACUGGAGGAAGGUGGGGAUGACGUCAAGUCAUCAUGGCCCUUACGACCAGGGCUACACACGUGCUACAAUGGCAUAUACAAAGAGAAGCGACCUCGCGAGAGCAAGCGGACCUCAUAAAGUAUGUCGUAGUCCGGAUUGGAGUCUGCAACUCGACUCCAUGAAGUCGGAAUCGCUAGUAAUCGUAGAUCAGAAUGCUACGGUGAAUACGUUCCCGGGCCUUGUACACACCGCCCGUCACACCAUGGGAGUGGGUUGCAAAAGAAGUAGGUAGCUUAACCUUCGGGAGGGCGCUUACCACUUUGUGAUUCAUGACUGGGGUGAAGUCGUAACAAGGUAACCGUAGGGGAACCUGCGGUUGGAUCACCUCCUUACCUUAAAGAA